Long non-coding RNA from Hippocampus zosterae (dwarf seahorse), 844 nucleotides. RefSeq lists it as uncharacterized. The transcript has 2 exons. Lineage: Eukaryota; Metazoa; Chordata; Actinopteri; Syngnathiformes; Syngnathidae. The record is from RefSeq and is a predicted model, not a curated record.
AAAGGCGAUCAUGACUGAGGACAGCAUGCGAACGUUAAAAGGGGAAGAGGUGUGGGCGUGAACGAGGACGCUAAAGGCACGCCCCCAGCAGGCUGUCUGAAGGAGCAAUAAAUGCAUGCAAGCAAGGAGGAAAGAGUGCUUGAAAGAUACAGAAGAUCCAAAGUUUUUCCUGGCAAGUACAAAAUGCUUAAAUUGCACAACUGCUUGUCCACGGUGGAGUACACAUGCCUACCAUCACUUGUCAGAACAUAUUGUCAUCCAUAACAGGUGGUGGAGGACGAAAAAAGCAGAAAAGAUCUUUCACGUGUUUUAUCGAACAGUUUCAAAAUACAGUAAACACAAGUGAGCAGACCCGCCGACGGCCUCAACUGACACCGCUAUAUAUUUCACUAAGUCUUGGUUUGAAUAUACAGUGUGUAACUGGCGCCAAUAUUGAGUCGUUGGUGGCCAUUACAACGAAAAUACAAUUUAUUUACGCUUGUUGUUUUGUAAAAGUACUUUAUUUCUAUGUGAACUUUCAUAUCUGUUUUUUCUUUAAAUCCUCUUCAUGUGUUAUUUGGAAUGUUUUGUUAAGAAUCACUUCCGGGUCACGUGCCGUGGAUAGCGAGGAAUGAGAGAGAAAGAUCGAGAAGACAACUUGAGAGAGAGAGACAGAGACAGAGCUACAAUACCGUGUGGUCUACGUGAUUUAAUUUGAUCUACUUUCGUUUUACCAAGGUGCACAUGGUUUGUCAUUUUGAGUUUAGUUAUUUUAUGUCUUGUUAAAGAUAUUGUAAUUUUGAUGCUGUUUGAAAUGUGUUUUAGUUUUCACGGUGUUCCACGAGUAAACGUUUUUUGGACAUCA